GGCGGGGGGCGGCGGCGGGCGGCGGAGCGCGGGGGCUGGUUCUCGGUCCCCGGGAGAAGCCAAGAAGAGGUCACUGCUUUGAUCCCACUGUGGGAGCAGCGAAACACAAGGACUCUUCCCCACUGUAUCAUGCUGGAUGAACACAACCAGGGGCCCGUCCCCCCCUUCUGGCCCACGAAGGCCUGCCAGAGCCGACCGAGGGAGCUGCCCUGCCAAGAGCCAUGGGCUAUUGAAAGAGCCUUGAGCUCCUAUCAAGACCGGAGGAGACGUGGCGCUAGGCAUAUCUCGGUGAUGUGGGAGCACGAAGACGUUGAGUGGGGUGGCUGACGUCACACUGAGCAGAGGGAAAGAGCGGCUGUGCCUUGAGCUUCCCCGCCUUCCAGGCUGCACCGGGUUGUGUGCCAGCAUGGCGAUGCUACCAGAGGCUUCCGCACCUGCCACGCAGGGCUGAGAACGUCCAUUCCCCUUGGACGUGUGAAUGCCAGGACAGCAGGUGCCAUGAUCUGAAAUCCAGGCCAUUGUUUAAUGGCAGAAGGAAGACCCCAAAGGAAGGAGCUUUUUCCCACCCAAACUACUUGCCCCUUUGGUCUUGAAUUUGACUAGGUUCUUUUACGGAAAGUAACAAACAAAACAUAACAAAUAAAACCACAAAACACAAA
Molecule: long non-coding RNA, 659 nt
Organism: Hyaena hyaena (striped hyena)
Lineage: Eukaryota; Metazoa; Chordata; Mammalia; Carnivora; Hyaenidae
Exons: 5
Source: RefSeq, a predicted model, not a curated record